AUUGAACGCUGGCGGCAGGCCUAACGCAUGCAAGUCGAACGGUAACAGGAAGCAGCUUGCUGCUUUGCUGACGAGUGGCGGACGGGUGAGUAAUGUCUGGGAAACUGCCCGAUGGAGGGGGAUAACUACUGGAAACGGUAGCUAAUACCGCAUAACGUCGCAAGACCAAAGAGGGGGACCUUAGGGCCUCUUGCCAUCGGAUGUGCCCAGAUGGGAUUAGCUAGUAGGUGGGGUAACGGCUCACCUAGGCGACGAUCCCUAGCUGGUCUGAGAGGAUGACCAGCCACACUGGAACUGAGACACGGUCCAGACUCCUACGGGAGGCAGCAGUGGGGAAUAUUGCACAAUGGGCGCAAGCCUGAUGCAGCCAUGCCGCGUGUAUGAAGAAGGCCUUCGGGUUGUAAAGUACUUUCAGCGGGGAGGAAGGGAGUAAAGUUAAUACCUUUGCUCAUUGACGUUACCCGCAGAAGAAGCACCGGCUAACUCCGUG
RNAcentral lists this ribosomal RNA (490 nucleotides) under uncultured bacterium. RNAcentral's name for it is "partial 16S ribosomal RNA". It matches the Rfam family "Bacterial small subunit ribosomal RNA", at positions 30 to 507 of the family's 1533-position model. The record is from RNAcentral.